UGACAUUCUCCCAGCAAUGCCCAAAUAGUGCUGCGAGGAGAAAUACCUCUGGGCCAAACUAGACAUUUCCUUUUCUUUAAACCAGUUGCUGGAUCCUUAAUUUAGACUGGGACAUGGAGCUUUCCCUGAUUUGAAUCUUCCCAAGCAACUGUCAGAUGCUGAUAAAUUAUUGAAGAACUGGGGACAAUUGUUCUACUGUGCCAUUAAGACAUGGGAAUCUUUUAUUUACUAAAUUCCUGACGAAACCUUCUGAUGGCUUCUGAAGCUACUUCAACAAAGAGUACCAAAUCUAGUCAAGAGCAAGAUCAUCUGAAGAUGGAUUUUGCAGUUUGAGGGUUGCAUCUCCUCCAACCACCAGG
Long non-coding RNA from Rhineura floridana, 359 nucleotides. RefSeq lists it as uncharacterized. The record is from RefSeq and is a predicted model, not a curated record. Lineage: Eukaryota; Metazoa; Chordata; Lepidosauria; Squamata; Rhineuridae. The transcript has 3 exons.